RNAcentral lists this ribosomal RNA (253 nucleotides) under uncultured bacterium. RNAcentral describes it as "partial 16S ribosomal RNA". It matches the Rfam family "Bacterial small subunit ribosomal RNA", at positions 524 to 776 of the family's 1533-position model. The record is from RNAcentral.
UACGAAGGGGGCUAGCGUUGCUCGGAAUCACUGGGCGUAAAGGGCGCGUAGGCGGCCUGGCAAGUGGAAGGUGAAAUCCCUCGGCUUAACCGAGGAACUGCCCUCCAAACUGCUUGGCUUGAGUCCGGGAGAGGUGAGUGGAAUUCCCAGUGUAGCGGUGAAAUGCGUAGAUAUUGGGAGGAACACCAGUGGCGAAGGCGGCUCACUGGACCGGAACUGACGCUGAGGCGCGAAAGCGUGGGGAGCAAACGGG